RNAcentral lists this unclassified non-coding RNA (701 nucleotides) under Hevea brasiliensis (rubber tree). The record is from RNAcentral. Lineage: Eukaryota; Viridiplantae; Streptophyta; Magnoliopsida; Malpighiales; Euphorbiaceae.
UGAAGAUGAGUUCGAUGAUGAUAAUGUUGAAGAGGAGAUGGAUGCAUAUGAAUCUCUUGACCUUGCUGUCCAGGAAGGGAAUGUCUCUCUACAUGAUGAUCCACAUACAAACCACGAUAAUGUUUCAAGAGAUUACUUGCAAGAGCUUUUUGGCAAUUUUCCAUCAAAUACAGCCGGGAUGGAUGAAGUGCAAGAUGAUCAAAGUCUUGGAGAAUAUCAGAUAUAUGACCAAUACAACGAUGACUCUUAUUCCGAAGAUGAAGACUACUAAAACAUCAUGCUAAUUAGUGAUGGAGUGAAGAACUGCUGCUGCAGAAAAGGGUGGGAAUGAAGCAUUUACCUGACCUCAAGCCUACAGGGAAAAAGCUUAGUGUUGUCAGUAUUUCCCCCUAAACUUGUUCUGGAAAAUCACUAGGCACAUUUUAACUUUACGAGCAUCCUAUUACUCUGAACUUAUAUUAAGACAACCCCGCGACCCUAAGCUGCCAUUUGGGGAAGGUUGUGAACACCUCCAGUUAGGAGCGUGAAGGCUGCGUAGAACUAACAGAAUGAAUAUUUUCGAUUAGAAGCUCACCUGUCCCAAGUGUAGAGGUGUUUUUAGUACUAUGAAUAGUUUUGGAGACGAAAGUAAUAGUUUGCGUCAAAUUUGAAGGUGUUUUUACCUUCUCUUUAUUUAAUCUUCUCUUAAAUUUGGAUGCAAG